Hydra vulgaris (swiftwater hydra) is the source of this 1189-nucleotide long non-coding RNA. RefSeq lists it as uncharacterized. Lineage: Eukaryota; Metazoa; Cnidaria; Hydrozoa; Anthoathecata; Hydridae. The record is from RefSeq and is a predicted model, not a curated record.
UUUUGUUAAAUGUGUUUAAAUGUAAAUAAUAGCAUCUUUUUGCAUAAACAGGCAUCCUUAUGUUAUUAAUUUUUUUACAAAAACAAAUAAGAGUUCAAAAUAAAAAUUUUAAUUUAUGAAAAGAGAAGAAGUAGAAAAAGUAUUUUUAACUCAACAUUUACUGAGUGAAUCAGGAGAAGAAGUGUUGGUAAUUUAUUUGAAACAGAUAGUAUCACGAGAAGAAGUGGUAAGAGUAAUAAAAUUCUUUUAUUCAACAUUACGAAUUGAAUUACGAGAAGAAGUGGUUGUAAUUAAUUUAAAACAUAUUGCAUCACGAGAAGAAUAGGAAAAAUAUUGCUAUACUUAAGUAUCAAGAUUAAAAUACUGAUGUACCGUUAAACUGAAGGUGGUAAUAAAGUUUACAAAAUUUGCUCUGGCUGAAUUUUUCAAUGAAAAAACAAUAUGUGUGCCAUGAAUGUAAUCUGUUUUUCAUGGCGUAUCAAUGAAAGUUUGGUGUAUUGGCCAAAUCACUUGCAAGCAUCUUGCCUUUAAACUGCCAUACAUAAAGCCGUGCUUUUAAAAGUAACUGAAAGCAGCUGAAAAUAAGAUUUUUUUGAUGAACUUUCUUACUUCGGUUGGAGGAGAUGAGAAACAACUUACAGCGGCAAUCUUAAUACAGCUAAUGGUCAAAGAAGUAUGAUUUUCAUACGCAGUGUAUGGAAUGAAACAAAAACGUCCUGCAAGGUCGUUAUAGUUCCAGAACUUAGUUUUAUUCAGAAAGUAUUUGGUAAAUGCUCCAGUAAUCAAAUAUAUGGUUGCAAUAAUUGCAAGUUUUUGAGGCCGGACCUUCAUAAUAGAAAGAUUGGUUUUAAUCAAACGAUUACUGAUAUGCAAAAACAUGGAGAACAUGCAAGAGUUGAACUUGGGCCUAAGCCUGACAAAGAUUCAGCACAAUCUAAUUUAUUGCUUCUAAUUAUAGACAACGGGGAACAGUUUUAGUUGAAGGGUUGAUUAACGACUUCAUGCCACCAUGUGGUUUGCAUUUAAUUUUUCCACACCAUAGACAUCUUUGGAAAUUCUUAUAUAAUGUAUAAUUCCACAAAAAAACAUUUUGACGGAAGAAUUGAGAAAUAUUAGGUGUUUAUAUUUAGCAUUUUAACUUGAUUUUUAUUUUAAAAAGUAAAUAUAUCAAUUCUUGAUUUAAGUUUAA